Molecule: ribosomal RNA, 372 nt
Filed under: uncultured organism
Description: bacterial SSU rRNA
Rfam family: Bacterial small subunit ribosomal RNA
Source: RNAcentral
CGAAGGUCCCAAGCGUUGUUCGGAAUCACUGGGCGUAAAGGGAGCGUAGGCGGCGUGGUAAGUCAGAUGUGAAAUCCCGGGGCUCAACCCCGGAACUGCAUCCGAUACUGCCAUGCUAGAGGAUUGGAGAGGUAGCUGGAAUUCUUGGUGUAGCAGUGAAAUGCGUGGAGAUCAAGAGGAACACUCGUGGCGAAAGCGAGCUACUGGACAAUAUCUGACGCUGAGGCUCGAAGGCCAGGGUAGCGAAAGGGAUUAGAUACCCCUGUAGUCCUGGCAGUAAACGGUGCACGCUUGGUGUGAGGGGAAUCGACCCCCCUUGUGCCGGAGCUAACGCGUUAAGCGUGCCGCCUGGGAAGUACGGUCGCAAGACUA